AUGCUGGGGUUCCUUUAUUCCUGGCCCCUUGAGUUUCUCCCGAGGAAAGCCCCCUCCCCACGCUUCAUCUCCACCAUGAAAUUCGGUCAAGACAUUCCCGACAACCGCGGGGGUAACUAUAAAUACCCUGUGUGGGACUGCCGCCAUGGUCGCGUUCUCCUUCGGCAGAAUUGGGCGCCCACGCACCUUGUUGUUUGGGACCCAAUGACGGGUCGCCAAAGAAAGCUAAAAGUGCCCACGUCGAUGGGCUACGCCGAUGGGGCCACUGCACUCUUUUGUGCAGCGAGCGGCUGUGACCAUCGCGCGUGUCAUGCAGGGCCCUUCCAAGUGGUAUUCUUGGGCCUUGACAUGACAGAUGAUGACAAUUGUGUUGCACACGCACGUGUGUCCUCGCCGGUGACAGGUGACUGGAGCAAGUCGUGCUCUGAUGUUGAGUGGAGCGAUAUGUGCUCUAGUCUACAACUUGCACCUGAUGCACUCAUCGACUCAAUGCCAUCCAUCCUUGUUGAAAACGCACUUCACUUCAUGCUUACACAUGAUGAGGAUGAUAGUGUAGAAAUUCUCAAAUAUGACUUGAGCUCUAAUUGCUUAUCGUUGAUUGAUGCACCAUUGUCGGGGAUUGUAAUUAGCAGUUCCACUAUCCUCAUGGCGAUGGAGGAUGGAAGUUGGGGUUUGCGCAUGUGGACACAGUAA
This 693-nucleotide ribosomal RNA is filed under the name Triticum aestivum (bread wheat). Its description in RNAcentral is "partial small subunit ribosomal RNA". Lineage: Eukaryota; Viridiplantae; Streptophyta; Magnoliopsida; Poales; Poaceae. The record is from RNAcentral.